UACUUUGAUGAUAAUUUUAUAGCAUUGCAUUGAAGUGGUACCAGCUCUAGCAUCUAAUUUUCAGUAGUAUGAUAAUCAACAGCACAAAAGUUGUGCAUUAACUGUUACCAAACUCCUCAACUACCAGCGAAUUCUCCAACUUUACCAUUCAAAAAUUGUCAACGAAACUCUCUGCAAUGCUGUGUCAUUUAAAAAAGAACUAAAUCUACGAGCUGGCUUGCACAUUUCAAUACAAUGACUACCUGUUUCUUGUCUUAACAAACUUGGCUCUUGAAGCUUUCUUCUCCAGCUUCUCCCUCUUUUUGCGUGUCUUUUCAUCUUCCACAUCUCCCUCUGACCCUAAUGAUAAGAAUCCUCUAACAAAUCCAAGGGAUUUGUACGCUCCAAAUGCAGGUAUC
This 398-nucleotide unclassified non-coding RNA is filed under the name Hevea brasiliensis (rubber tree). The record is from RNAcentral. Lineage: Eukaryota; Viridiplantae; Streptophyta; Magnoliopsida; Malpighiales; Euphorbiaceae.